GUACAUUAGUGCUUGCGCACAACAAUAGGUUUCAUUACAUUCGAGUUUGUGUAAAAUUCCUCUGCCGGCCGAAGCUAGCAAGAGGCCAGAGGUUCACAGGGUAUUGGAUGAAAGCCACCGACGUGCACUUGCCAGUUUCUGGCCAGCACAGAAGGCAACCAUUCGUAAUCAUUAAUGAUCCUUCCGCAGGUUCACCUACGGAAA
This 204-nucleotide unclassified non-coding RNA is filed under the name uncultured fungus. RNAcentral's name for it is "sequence contains ITS1". The record is from RNAcentral. Lineage: Eukaryota; Fungi.